RNAcentral lists this ribosomal RNA (421 nucleotides) under Verrucomicrobiota bacterium. Its description in RNAcentral is "Verrucomicrobia bacterium partial 16S ribosomal RNA". It matches the Rfam family "Bacterial small subunit ribosomal RNA", at positions 355 to 776 of the family's 1533-position model. The record is from RNAcentral. Lineage: Bacteria; Pseudomonadati; Verrucomicrobiota.
UGGGGAAUUUUGCACAAUGGGCGCAAGCCUGAUGCAGCGACGCCGCGUGAGGGAUGAAGGCCUUCGGGUUGUAAACCUUUUUCGCUCAUGGUCAAGCCGCAGCUUUGGGUUGUGGUGAGGGUAGUGGGUAAAGAAGCGCCGGCUAACUACGUGCCAGCAGCCGCGGUAAUACGUAGGGGGCGAGCGUUGUCCGGAAUUACUGGGCGUAAAGGGUUCGCAGGCGGCAUGGCAAGUCCGAUGUAAAAGGCGAAGGCUCAACCUUCGUAAGCAUCGGAAACUGUCAAGCUUGAGUGAAGGAGAGGCAAGUGGAAUUCCUAGUGUAGCGGUGGAAUGCGUAGAUAUUAGGAGGAAUACCGGUGGCGAAGGCGACUUGCUGGACUUCAACUGACGCUGAGGAACGAAAGCGUGGGUAGCAAACAGG